AUGAGGGAUGCUUUCACCUUAGGGAUGCGAAGCACACAACUAAGUGAGAGCCUAAACAAUGACUCGAAACUCCACCUGAAACCAGACCUUGACCUUGUUCAUUUUUCAAGCAUUUUGAAAGGGUUGUGCAAGGGAAACGAGACAAUGAGUUGGAUUCGGAGUACGAGUCCAGAGAGAAACUACCUAGAAUCAAAAUAA
This 198-nucleotide ribosomal RNA is filed under the name Triticum aestivum (bread wheat). RNAcentral's name for it is "partial small subunit ribosomal RNA". Lineage: Eukaryota; Viridiplantae; Streptophyta; Magnoliopsida; Poales; Poaceae. The record is from RNAcentral.